RNAcentral lists this unclassified non-coding RNA (237 nucleotides) under Hevea brasiliensis (rubber tree). The record is from RNAcentral. Lineage: Eukaryota; Viridiplantae; Streptophyta; Magnoliopsida; Malpighiales; Euphorbiaceae.
AGGGUGAUGAUACACUAUGAUGCCCCCAUAAGGACCAUGCACAUAGGAAUUAGCAAUAAGAAGAGCAAUUUUACUAUUUGACAAUGAACAGCGAAUCACUGCCAGGACAACCAAAUGCAGUGUGGUCUUUCUUUCUUUAUUUUUGGUUAUUAAGCAAAUUCAAUGACAAGUAUAAAUUUACCAGUCCAUAAUACUUUAAGCAAACAUGUAUUCUGCUCAGUUUGGUGCAAGCUUAUG